AUGAACGCUGGCGGCGUGCCUAAUACAUGCAAGUCGAGCGAACAGAUGAGGAGCUUGCUCCUCUGACGUUAGCGGCGGACGGGUGAGUAACACGUGGAUAACCUACCUAUAAGACUGGGAUAACUUCGGGAAACCGGAGCUAAUACCGGAUAAUAUAUUGAACCGCAUGGUUCAAUAGUGAAAGACGGUUUUGCUGUCACUUAUAGAUGGAUCCUCGCCGCAUUAGCUAGUUGGUAAGGUAACGGCUUACCAAGGCGACGAUGCGUAGCCGACCUGAGAGGGUGAUCGGCCACACUGGAACUGCGACACGGUCCAGACUCCUACGGGAGGCAGCAGUAGGGAAUCUUCCGCAAUGGGCGAAAGCCUGACGGAGCAACGCCGCGUGAGUGAUGAAGGUCUUCGGAUCGUAAAACUCUGUUAUUAGGGAAGAACAAAUGUGUAAGUAACUAUGCACGUCUUGACGGUACCUAAUCAGAAAGCCACGGCUAACUACGUG
RNAcentral lists this ribosomal RNA (496 nucleotides) under uncultured bacterium. Its description in RNAcentral is "partial 16S ribosomal RNA". It matches the Rfam family "Bacterial small subunit ribosomal RNA", at positions 29 to 507 of the family's 1533-position model. The record is from RNAcentral.